AACGCUAGCUACAGGCUUAACACAUGCAAGUCGCGGGGCAUCAUGAAUUUAGCUUGCUAAGUUUGGUGGCGACCGGCGUACGGGUGAGUAACGCGUAUCCAACCUUCCUCUCUCCACGGAAUAGCCCGUCGAAAGGCGGAUUAAUACCGUAUGAGGUCACCAGAUGGCAUCAGAAAGUGACGAAAGGUUUGGCGGAGAGAGAUGGGGAUGCGUCCGAUUAGCUUGUUGGCGGGGUAACGGCCCACCAAGGCGACGAUCGGUAGGGGUUCUGAGAGGAAGGUCCCCCACAUUGGAACUGAGACACGGUCCAAACUCCUACGGGAGGCAGCAGUGAGGAAUAUUGGUCAAUGGACGGAAGUCUGAACCAGCCAAGUAGCGUGCAGGAUGACGGCCCUAUGGGUUGUAAACUGCUUUUAUGCGGGGAUAAAGUGGGCUACGUGUAGCCUAUUGCAGGUACCGCAUGAAUAAGGACCGGCUAAUUCCGUGCCAGCAGCCGCGGUAAUACGGAAGGUCCGGGCGUUAUCCGGAUUCAUUGGGUUUAAAGGGAGCGUAGGCCGCCUUUUAAGCGUGUUGUGAAAUGUCCUGGCUCAACCAGGGCACUGCAGCGCGAACUGGAGGGCUUGAGUGCGCACGACGCAGGCGGAAUUCGUGGUGUAGCGGUGAAAUGCUUAGAUAUCACGAAGAACUCCGAUUG
Molecule: ribosomal RNA, 694 nt
Filed under: uncultured bacterium
Lineage: Bacteria
Description: bacterial SSU rRNA
Rfam family: Bacterial small subunit ribosomal RNA
Source: RNAcentral